Molecule: ribosomal RNA, 271 nt
Filed under: uncultured bacterium
Lineage: Bacteria
Description: partial 16S ribosomal RNA
Rfam family: Bacterial small subunit ribosomal RNA
Source: RNAcentral
UACGUAGGGUGCAAGCGUUAAUCGGAAUUACUGGGCGUAAAGCGUACGCAGGCGGUUUUGUAAGACAGAUGUGAAAUCCCCGGGCUUAACCUGGGACCUGCAUUUGUGACUGCAAAGCUAGAGUACGGUAGAGGGGGAUGGAAUUCCGCGUGUAGCAGUGAAGUGCGUAGAUAUGCGGAGGAACACCGAUGGCGAAGGCAAUCCCCUGGACCUGUACUGACGCUCAUGCACGAAAGCGUGGGGAGCAAACAGGAUUAGAAACCCUAGUAGU